This is a long non-coding RNA of Nothobranchius furzeri (turquoise killifish), 971 nucleotides long. RefSeq lists it as uncharacterized. The record is from RefSeq and is a predicted model, not a curated record. Lineage: Eukaryota; Metazoa; Chordata; Actinopteri; Cyprinodontiformes; Nothobranchiidae.
ACAAAAGCACAAUUUUAUUUAAAAAAAUAACAAAAAAUGAACAAAAGGAGAAAACUCGUUCCACAGCCUUGCCCAUUACAGACUCGAGUUCAGAAAAAGGGUACACACCACAGGGGCACGGUCCAUAUCUCACCAGUGAGAGGGGGGUCAAAGUUGAAACCCCGAGUACGGGCCGUUUCCUCUCCCUCCUGGGACUGCAAAGCAUGAGGCGGAUGUUGUUUACUGGUUGCCAAGUUUCCUGGCCUCCCUCUGGGCAGGAGGGAAGCUGGCUCACUUUUAGAGCCUCAGCUAGUCAAGGUGAUUUAAACUGCCCAAAGUCCAAAGCAUUACGGGCCAGGCCUGGCUCCUUGUUCCUGCAGCUCCUGCCUUUCAUUCAGCUCCUAAUAAAGAUGACAGCACUUGUAUUUCUGUGUUUUCAGGAGGUUGUUAUCGUGUCCUUGGGAGCUGAUUUACAGGUUAACCUUGUGUGCUGGAGGCUGCUUUUGCUGGUUGCAGCCCCUGCAAGAAAGCCCAGACUGGACCCAGGCCAGCUCCUCAGAGUCGGUUCCAUUUCUCCGAAACUACAUGUGUUUGUGAAAGGACAGCUAAUUGUGUCACUGCAUAUUGGUUUUUGAUUCAAGGAAACCAGGUCCUGGAAAAACGGGCAGAUGGAUCUCCUCUCGUUCCAGAGGCUGGUAGCCCAGACUCUCCUCCAGCGCCAUGGAACAAAGCCAAGUAGGCAAGGCAGAAAAUCUGCAAUGGCGGUGGCGAUACCUGAUGUCACCAGGUUUGACAGCUUGAAUCACUGGCCCAGCAACAUUAGUAGCAGGUACAAGUAGUGCAAGAGCUGUGGUGGACGCACACCAUUUGCGUGCGAAAAAUGUGAUGUGCCACUACAUGUGGAGUGCUUCAAAAAGCACCACACUGAGUAGUACAUCCAUACCAAAUGAUGGAUUGUGUGGGAACUAUGUCAUAUACAUAAAUAUGUGUUA